ACGAACGCUGGCGGCGUCCUUAACACAUGCAAGUCGAACGGAAAGGCCUGCAGCUUGCUGCGGGUACUCGAGUGGCGAACGGGUGAGUAACACGUGGGUGAUCUGCCUUGCACUUCGGGAUAAGCUUGGGAAACUGGGUCUAAUACCGGAUAGGACAGCUGUUUAGUGUCAGUUGUGGAAAGUUUUUUCGGUGCAAGAUGAGCUCGCGGCCUAUCAGCUUGUUUGUGGGGUAAUGGCCUACCAAGGCGUCGACGGGUAGCCGGCCUGAGAGGGUGUACGGCCACAUUGGGACUGAGAUACGGCCCAGACUCCUACGGGAGGCAGCAGUGGGGAAUAUUGCACAAUGGGCGGAAGCCUGAUGCAGCGACGCCGCGUGGGGGAUGAAGGCCUUCGGGUUGUAAACUCCUUUCGACAGGGACGAAGCUUUUGUGACGGUACCUUUAUAAGAAGCACCGGCUAACUACGUG
This 467-nucleotide ribosomal RNA is filed under the name uncultured bacterium. Its description in RNAcentral is "partial 16S ribosomal RNA". It matches the Rfam family "Bacterial small subunit ribosomal RNA", at positions 29 to 507 of the family's 1533-position model. The record is from RNAcentral.